CCUACGGGGGGCAGCAGUGAGGAAUAUUGGUCAAUGGGCGAGAGCCUGAACCAGCCAAGUCGCGUGAGGGAGUACUGCCCUAUGGGUUGUAAACCUCUUUUGUCGGGGAGCAAAAGCCGGACGUGUCCGGCUGUGAGCGUACCCGAAGAAAAAGCCUCGGCUAACCCCGUGCCAGCAGCCGCGGUAAUACGGAGGAUGCGAGCGUUAUCCGGAUUUAUUGGGUUUAAAGGGUGCGCAGGCGGAUUGUUAAGUCAGCGGUAAAAUCGUGGGGCUCAACCCCAUCCAGCCGUUGAAACUGGGGAUCUAGAGUGUGCGAGAGGUAUGCGGAAUGCGUGGUGUAGCGGUGAAAUGCAUAGAUAUCACGCAGAACCCCGAUUGCGAAGGCAGCAUACCGGUGCACAACUGACGCUCAGGCACGAAAGCGUGGGUAUCGAACAGGAUUAGAUACCCCAGUAGUC
Molecule: ribosomal RNA, 458 nt
Filed under: uncultured bacterium
Lineage: Bacteria
Description: partial 16S ribosomal RNA
Rfam family: Bacterial small subunit ribosomal RNA
Source: RNAcentral